Osmerus eperlanus (European smelt) is the source of this 642-nucleotide long non-coding RNA. RefSeq lists it as uncharacterized. The transcript has 3 exons. NCBI's taxonomy places the organism in Eukaryota, Metazoa, Chordata, Actinopteri, Osmeriformes, Osmeridae. The record is from RefSeq and is a predicted model, not a curated record.
ACAGGGUGUUGAUAUCACAGCCUGGAAACAUAGCUAGCUCUACAUAAGAAGUUAUUACCCUGGCCUGUGCCUGUGGCGUUUCUGCAGCUAUAUUUUUGCAGUUUUAGCUAUCUAUUUAUCUAUCUAUCUCUCAACGAGCUAUUGAACUCAUGUUCUACUGUAGGUAAACUCGUCUGUGGCUAGCUAGUUAGCUAACAUUAGCUUCACUUUUCGCCACAAAACUAGCUAGUUAUAUGCCUAAACCGUGCAAAGAAAUCUUCGGGAACAAGACGCACAUUUUGACACUGACACCGUGUAGUGCAAACAUUGAGGGAGUAGAUAAGGGCUGGAUCGAUAGGAGGCCAUCUGGAACGUUGUCCAGCGCAGCCUCGAUCUCCUGAAGAGGCUAGCUCCACUUCAGCAGGUCAGGGCUGACCAGGAAGGAGGGUGCCCCUGGUGUGUGUGUCUGUUCCUUGGUGUGUGAUACCUGGUGUAUGCUAUUUGGUGUGUUACCUGGGGUGUGUGUUACCUAGUGUAUGUUAUCUGGUGUGUGUGUGUAUAAUCUGGUGUGUGUUACUUGGUAGGUUUGUGGCUGUUGUGACUUUUUUACGAAAAUAGUUUUUCAACCUUUUGAAACUUGUUUCACACACAGUGAAAUGAGAA